This 307-nucleotide ribosomal RNA is filed under the name Nodularia sp. (in: cyanobacteria). RNAcentral's name for it is "bacterial SSU rRNA". It matches the Rfam family "Bacterial small subunit ribosomal RNA", at positions 1 to 337 of the family's 1533-position model. Lineage: Bacteria; Bacillati; Cyanobacteriota; Cyanophyceae; Nostocales; Nodulariaceae. The record is from RNAcentral.
AAAACGGAGAGUUUGAUCCUGGCUCAGGAUGAACGCUGGCGGUAUGCUUAACACAUGCAAGUCGAACGGUCUCUUCGGAGAUAGUGGCGGACGGGUGAGUAACGCGUGAGAAUCUAGCUUCAGGUCGGGGACAACCACGGGAAACUGUGGCUAAUACCGGAUAUGCCGAGAGGUGAAAGGCUUGCUGCCUGAAGAUGAGCUCGCGUCUGAUUAGCUAGUAGGUGUGGUAAAAGCGCACCUAGGCGACGAUCAGUAGCUGGUCUGAGAGGAUGAUCAGCCACACUGGGACUGAGACACGGCCCAGACU